GGCUGGUUAGCUCAGUUGGUUAGAGCGUGGUGCUAAUAACGCCAAGGUCGUGGGUUCGAUCCCCAUACUGGCUA
RNAcentral lists this transfer RNA (74 nucleotides) under Salmo salar (Atlantic salmon). It matches the Rfam family "tRNA". From Rfam's summary of the family: Transfer RNA (tRNA) molecules are approximately 80 nucleotides in length. Their secondary structure includes four short double-helical elements and three loops (D, anti-codon, and T loops). Lineage: Eukaryota; Metazoa; Chordata; Actinopteri; Salmoniformes; Salmonidae. The record is from Rfam by way of RNAcentral.